AGAGUUUGAUCCUGGCUCAGAUUGAACGCUGGCGGUAGGCCUAACACAUGCAAGUCGAACGGCAGCAGACCGUGACAAUCCCUUCGGGGUGCGUUUGGUGCUGGCGAGUGGCGGACGGGUGAGUAACACGUAGGAAUCUGCCUAACAGUGGGGGACAACCCGGGGAAACUCGGGCUAAUACCGCAUACGCCCUACGGGGGAAAGCGGGGGACUUUCGGGCCUCGCGCUGUUAGAGGAGCCUGCGUCGGAUUAGCUUGUUGGUGAGGUAAUGGCUCACCAAGGCGACGAUCCGUAGCUGGACUGAGAGGAUGAUCAGCCACACUGGGACUGAGACACGGCCCAGACUCCUACGGGAGGCAGCAGUGGGGAAUAUUGCACAAUGGGCGAAAGCCUGACGCAGCCAUACCGCGUGGGUGAAGAAGGCCUUAGGGUUGUAAAGCCCUUUCAGCAGGGAAGAAAGGUGCGGGGUUAAUACCCCCGUAAUUUGACGGUACCUGAAUAAGAAGCACCGGCCAACUCCGUGCAGCAGCCGCGUAUCGAGGUGCAAGCCGUAUCGAAUCACUGGCGUAAAGCGCGCGUAGGCGUCUGUCAGUCAGAUGUGAAAGCCCCGGGCUUAACCUGGGAACUGCAUUUGAUACUGCCAGACUAGAGUGUGGUAGAGGGAAGUGGAAUUCCGCGUGUAGCGGUGAAUGCGUAGAGAUGCGGAGGAACAUCAGUGGCGAAAGGCGACUUCCUGGACCAACACUGACGCUCAGGUGCGAAAGCGUGGGGAGCAAACAGGAUUAGAUACCUGGUAGUCCACGCUGUAAACGAUGUCUACUAGCCGUCGGGGAGCUUGUCUCUUUGGUGGCGCAGCUAACGCGAUAAGUAGACCGCCUGGGGAGUACGGCGCAAGCUAAAACUCAAGGAUGGACGGGGGCCCGCACAGCGGUGGAGCAUGUGAUUAAAUUCGAUGCACGCGAGAACUACUGACCAUGACAUCCUCGGAACGGUCUGGAAACGGACUGGUGCCUUCGGGAGCCGAGAGACAGGUGCUGCAUGGCUGUCGCCAGCUCGUGUCGUGAGAUGUUGGGUUAAGUCCCGUAACGAGCGCAACCCCUAUCCUUAGUUGCCAGCGAGUCAUGUCGGGAACUCUAGGGAGACUGCCGGUGACAAACCGGAGGAAGGUGGGGACGACGUCAAGUCAUCAUGGCCCUUAUGGGCAGGGCUACACACGUGCUACAAUGGGCGGUACAGAGGGCUGCGAAGUCGCGAGGCGGAGCAAAUCUCAGAGAACCGGUCGUAGUCCGGAUUGCAGUCUGCAACUCGACUGCAUGAAGUUGGAAUCGCUAGUAAUCGCGGAUCAGAAUGCCGCGGUGAAUACGUUCCCGGGCCUUGUACACACCGCCCGUCACACCAUGGGAGUGGGCUGUACCAGAAGUAGGUAGUCUAACCUUCGGGAGGACGCUUACCACGGUGUGGUUCAUGACUGGGGUGAAGUCGUAACAAGGUAACC
Molecule: ribosomal RNA, 1495 nt
Filed under: uncultured Gammaproteobacteria bacterium
Lineage: Bacteria; Pseudomonadati; Pseudomonadota; Gammaproteobacteria
Description: bacterial SSU rRNA
Rfam family: Bacterial small subunit ribosomal RNA
Source: RNAcentral